This 1371-nucleotide long non-coding RNA is filed under the name Gallus gallus (chicken). RNAcentral's name for it is "lncRNA (ENSGALG00010019037.1)". The record is from RNAcentral. Lineage: Eukaryota; Metazoa; Chordata; Aves; Galliformes; Phasianidae.
GAGACGCUCCUCAGGCAGUGGGGGAUCAUCUCCUGUCUCACAGUCAGGUGGGAAGGGGAGACCUCAAAGACAGCGAGGGAUGGAAACAAAUCCCUGUUUGGGGCAACAAGCAGAUUGCUCCUCAGCCUGCCCCACCUUCCCAGGUGCCCUUACAUAACACAUAUGAGGCUCUGGAGCUGGAGGGACUGGGGAAUGUGGAUGUUGGUGAAAGUGCAGGAGAGGUUGUCCGUGGCUAGUCAGUCUGCUCCCCAUUUUGCUACAACGCCAGUCAAGCAAAAAAAGAAGGGCUGCCAUCAUAGGAGACUCCCUCCUGAGGGGAACAGAGGGCCUGAUAUGCCACUUGGAUCCAUCCCACAGGGAGGUGUGUUGCCUGCCUGGAGCCCGGGUGACCAUGGAUUUCAUCAAUGAAUUAGCAUGACAGACCCAACAAAAGCUACCUCAAGUACAGCUGGUCUGUUUCAGAAGUGGACUAAAGUACUCUUUUUCGUUUUAUGUCAUUGAAGAUAAUUAACUCCCUGGGACUUUUUUUCUUAAAUAGAGCAGAUGAAACGAGGACAUGAGACCCUAUUUCUUCCUGACAAUGGAAAAACUCCUUUUGACAGUCUUGGAGCUAAACACUGAUGCUGCCAAUGUCUAAACUUAGCUGAGAUGUAUACCUCUCUCAUUCUGCCUAAAUUUGAGGUCUCUCUAAGUGUGCUUAGAUCUAACACACAUGAGAAAUACAAACCUCUUCCCAAUAUGAAAUGCUGGACAUUCUCUUUCCAGAUAACACUGUGAGUAGUGUGGCUAUCUGUGAAAAUGAAUAGAAGGCUUGAUUGGAUUCUCACCUUUUUUUCUGGAAGAUUUUCAAAUGUUGCUUAAUCUCUUCUCAGAAUAGAACUCUACUCACUAGUAAGCAGAAUAAACUUCCUCCACAACACAAAUUUCAGGACUUGUGAAGUCUGUACCCUUUAGGAAGUUUCAGGCAUAGAGCCAGGGACGGACGAGGGAGUUGUUGCUGGCAUGCAAAAAUAUGGAGAACAGAGAGAGCUGAGGUUAAAACAGAGACUGUUCUUCAGAAAUAUCUAAGUCUUAUCAGAAAGAGCAUCCCAGCAUCUGAGAUCACCAGCAGUUCUCUUUCUUUCUGAUAGAUAAGAACACAAUCAUAGACAAAGAAAUGCUAACAACUUAUUUUGAGAGUCAUUCUGGAGAAACAUUUCUUCUUACUGUAUCAGCAUUGUUAUAAUCUUCAGUGUAUUGUUCAAAUGGUAAUGUCUGUCCACUGUAAUGAAUUUUCAUUACACUUUUUCUUAGAAACUCCAUAAAACUUUGUGAAGGCACAAUAAGAGUUAACUUUAUUUGGGGUUUCACUAUGUAGCAUCACUCUCCAAU